RNAcentral lists this ribosomal RNA (111 nucleotides) under Octodon degus (degu). The record is from RNAcentral. Lineage: Eukaryota; Metazoa; Chordata; Mammalia; Rodentia; Octodontidae.
GUCUACAGCCAUACCACCCUGAACCCACCCGAUCUCGUCUGAUCUCGGAAGCUAAGCAGGGUUGGGCCUGUUUGCUACUUGGAUGGGAGAAAAAUUGAGCAACAAAAAACU